ACAUCGCCCCACCUUCCCCAG
RNAcentral lists this microRNA (21 nucleotides) under Homo sapiens (human). RNAcentral describes it as "hsa-miR-6785-3p". Lineage: Eukaryota; Metazoa; Chordata; Mammalia; Primates; Hominidae. The record is from miRBase by way of RNAcentral.